This 497-nucleotide ribosomal RNA is filed under the name uncultured bacterium. Its description in RNAcentral is "partial 16S ribosomal RNA". It matches the Rfam family "Bacterial small subunit ribosomal RNA", at positions 28 to 507 of the family's 1533-position model. The record is from RNAcentral.
GAUGAACGCUGGCGGCGUGCCUAAUACAUGCAAGUCGAGCGAACAGACGAGGAGCUUGCUCCUCUGACGUUAGCGGCGGACGGGUGAGUAACACGUGGAUAACCUACCUAUAAGACUGGGAUAACUUCGGGAAACCGGAGCUAAUACCGGAUAAUAUAUUGAACCGCAUGGUUCAAUAGUGAAAGACGGUUUUGCUGUCACUUAUAGAUGACUCCGCGCAGCAUUAGCUAGUUGGUAAGGUAACGGCUUACCAAGGCAACGAUGCGUAGCCGACCUGAGAGGGUGAUCGGCCACACUGGAACUGAGACACGGUCCAGACUCCUACGGGAGGCAGCAGUAGGGAAUCUUCCGCAAUGGGCGAAAGCCUGAUGGAGCAACGCCGCGUGAGUGAUGAAGGUCUUCGGAUCGUAAAACUCUGUUAUUAGGGAAGAACAAAUGUGUAAGUAACUAUGCACGUCUUGACGGUACCUAAUCAGAAAGCCACGGCUAACUACGUG